UAGGGAAUAUUGCAAAAUGGGCGAAAGCCCGAUGCAGCAACGCCGCGUGGGCGAUGAAGGCCUUCGGGUCGUAAAGCCCUUUUUGAGGGGAUGAGGAAGGACAGUACCCUCGGAAUAAGCCUCGGCUAACUACGUGCCAGCAGCCGCGGUAAUACGGAGGGUGCAAGCGUUAUCCGGAUUUACUGGGUUUAAAGGGUGCGUAGGCGGAUGAAUAAGUCAGUGGUGAAAUCUCCGAGCUUAACUCGGAAACCGCCGUUGAUACUAUUUGGCUUGAAUAUUGUGGAGGUAAGCGGAAUAUGUCAUGUAGCGGUGAAAUGCUUAGAUAUGACAUAGAACACCAAUUGCGAAGGCAGCUUGCUACACAAUCAUUGACGCUGAGGCACGAAAGCGUGGGGAUCAAACA
RNAcentral lists this ribosomal RNA (403 nucleotides) under uncultured bacterium. Its description in RNAcentral is "bacterial SSU rRNA". It matches the Rfam family "Bacterial small subunit ribosomal RNA", at positions 355 to 774 of the family's 1533-position model. The record is from RNAcentral.